GCAUUGCUGAGGAGUCCUACGAUAGGACGAAACAGCUGUCUAGUGC
Schistosoma mansoni is the source of this 46-nucleotide non-coding RNA. The record is from Rfam. NCBI's taxonomy places the organism in Eukaryota, Metazoa, Platyhelminthes, Trematoda, Strigeidida, Schistosomatidae.